UAUACUUUAAUAUAAGAUGUAUAUUAAUUUUUGAUAUUAAAGGAAAUAGUUUAAUUCUAUUAAGUAUAA
This 69-nucleotide transfer RNA is filed under the name Charaea flaviventris. RNAcentral's name for it is "tRNA-Gln". Lineage: Eukaryota; Metazoa; Arthropoda; Insecta; Coleoptera; Chrysomelidae. The record is from RNAcentral.